GCAAGCUAGUCACACACAGAAAGCGAGAGAACGAGUUGGGUAAACACAGAGAAAGUGGACACUGGAUGUAGCCUCUAUGGGUCUAAUUUUCUCCGGUCGGCAGUAUUUAGACUAUACUUCGAAGGACUUAAAGUCACCAAAACGCAGAAUAAUACCAGGCAAGUUAACCAGUUGUUGCCUUCUCUCCAGUUUAUGUGAUGUUUACAAAUCCACAUGUGGCAGUACACUUUGUGUAGCAGAGACUUAUGUGAUAUUUAAGAAGCAAUGUGACCAACAAUAGAAGGAGAUUCUUACAGUUUUCUGUUCUGUAUACCUUCUGAAGAGAUAGAUUGCAAUAGAGAAGCUUAUCAAGAAUGAUUGGUACAUCUCAGAGAGGCACAUGGAAAGUCCAACUAGGUUCCACAGAGCCUGUUUUCAGCAGAAGCCCAGGGAGAAAUGCUCCAGAUGCAUGUCUUUGGAUAAAUAAAUAAACUUUCUUCUUGAAGCUCCCCCUGCCUCUUGAUUUAUAUACUUUAAAUUGCCUUGCCUUGUAUUAUGCCAUCUACACGUGCUUGUUUACUGAGGUCAAACUUAUUUACAACUUAUUGUUUAUGCUGCAUGCUCAAGCCUAUCUACACUUCACUGUGGCCAUUAGCAGGUGUUCUGACCUUGAACAGGUGAUGCUCAGGAUGAAGGGUUGCUUAGAGGCUUGCAUAACUGAUGAAUACUGCUGCUUGUCAGGCUAAGACAUGUGAACUUGUAUGCUUAGCUCUUUGUGCACACGCUUGUUAAUGAAUUCCUAUGAUUCUUUUGUGUAUUCCUAAAUGGACCAAGUAUGGAGUACUUAAAGAUAUUUCAGAAAUUUGCUCAAAUGAAUAAUGUGUGGGAAAGAGUCAAAUACAACAAUGAACAGGACAACAAAAGCCCAAAUUGCAAUGAAGUAGCAGGAGUUUUUUAUUAAUAUCUACUGACACAACUUUUAUGAACAAAUGUUUAACAACUGAUUCUUGAAGACUUAUUUGAGUGUUGCAGGACUGAAAUGCAAUGCAUAUUAAUAACCAGUACGAAGUUACAUUAAGGAAUAUUUUGAAUAAACCAUCUUUGUAUAGAAGAAGACCACUAGUUUUGUUUUCCGAUAUGACUAUAGUGACUCUAAAAAUGAUAAUUGAAUUGUCUUGCUAUGAUGGGCAAUCCAUAGAAUAUUAAUAGAAUGUGCCUCUAAACUGGCACUUGGGGUGUUUCUCACAUUAAAUAUUAGGAAAAUGGAUGAUCUUGUUAAUUCCCAUGUGUACAGCUACUGCUCUGCCAAGUUAAUUUUUUCCCCCCAUUAGCCUUUAUAAAACAAUAUAACCAAACUACACACAAAUACUUAAUCUCAAAAAGUACAGGAAAGGUUACAGCUAGAUUUGAACUCACUAUGGAACUGGCUCGCUAACAUGCAGCUUGUAAAAGCAACUGCUAUGCUGUUUGGUACACAUCAGAAACUUAAAUCAAACCCCACCUUAAACUUCACUAUCUACCAAGGUGCAGUACUGUCUAAAGUUGCCUAGGUAUAACUCUCAAUCAGCAACUCACUUUUGUGCAACAUUUACAAAAUAUCACAAAAGGCACAAUCAGAUAACUAAGAUUAGUAUAUAAAUACUCUCACAUUCUGUCACUGGAAUCUAGAAAGGAAAUUGCAUUACAAAUGAUAAUAAAUUGCUCAUUAAAAGUUGUGAUAAAGAGAUAUGUUUUAAAGUCAUGCAUGAUAAAAUGACUUUAAACACAUCAGAGUCAGAGAUAAUUAAUAUGAUGGAAAGAAUUUAUUUCAAAAUUAUGAAUGAAGAACCUAUGUAGUAAUCAUGAUUUUAUAUAAAUGCAAGUUUGCCUAUGUCACAAGUGUUAAAAAAGAAAUUAAGUAAAAAGACAGUAAAUUAAAACAGGAUUUUUAAGACUAUACUGGUUUAACUAGAGGUUCAAAAGAGGAAGUAUCCUCAAUACAAAUGGAUGAAACUGUAUUUUUCAUUGGUGGGUUUCAAUUAAUAAGCUAAAUCUCUCAACAGAUGAAUUAGUAGUUAAAAAAGCAGCAGCCAAUCUACUGACAUGUAAAUCUCCACAUUUUCAUCAUGAGCAGUCAAAGAUGGUCAAUCAUUCUGGUGUAAUUAUAAGGAACAACAAAAAACGUAGACCAGCAAAAUUGAAUGGUGGCAAUAAGAAGCCCAAACAACAGGAUUUUCAGAUGGUGGACAUACAUUAGAAUUAAGACAGAAAGACAUCAGACAAUAAAUGGCUGGAUGUAGUGAAGUAGCAGCCAUCACAAAGUAAUUAUCAGGAGUCCCAUCAACUGAGACAGUGUGAAGGAUAGAGAAGAGCUAAAAGAGAAGGAUAGAAAAAGAGCUAAAAAGGAUAGAAUCUGAAGAAGUAAUUAUGUCUCAGCUUCAAAAAUUUCAAUCUACUAGUCAGACUAUAUUUAGGGUGAUGUCCAUAACAAUAUACAAAACCAUAAUAAGAUCUAUAGUGGAAUAUGGGAGUAGAUCUUUGCAUAUAAUCUGAACUACAAAUAAAUAAAUUAGAAAAGAUUCAAAGAUUUUUCAUUAGGAGAAUCUAUGGCAUGGGGAUACCAGUUAUACUGUGCGUUUUACAGGACGUCUAGAGGUGAUUUGAUAUGGCUAUAUAAAUGUUUAAAAAGUGAGAAGAUGUGUAGCUCUUUCAGGCUGAAUUUUGUUAUCCACUAAUUUUCUGCACAUGAACAUUUCCAAAAGCAGUGUGAAUAAUGGCUUAAGUAUUGCUGUUAGUUUUAAAAACAGUGCCUGUAAUCCACUACUGCAUUUUGGAAGCAUGCAUCUUCUACAUACAAAACAAAUGUUGUUUCUGGUGUGUUUCUAGAAACAGAGAAUUAACUACAAAAGCAAAAUUAAAUUAAUAGAUAGAAAUUGAAUAAACAUUUUUUUCUAAGAUAUUAUCCAAAAGACUUAAUACAGGAAGGAGCCAAAACUGCAGAUGACAUUAUAGCAAGUUAGAAGUUAAGAAACAAGAGGAUACUGAUUUGGUUCUAAUUAUGUGCUCAAGAUAUUGUGAAGACAGUGGAGAUUUUAAAUAUAUAGUGAAAGGUACUUGGGAAAUGAUAAGUGGCAAUGACAAGGUACUAGUCCAAAGUUUGUUAAUAGGAAUUUUAACAUCAAACAUGUUUGAAAGAAGGAAUAGUGGAAUGGAAAAGAAGGGGGGCAAAACUGGCUAUAUUUAAAUGCCACACUUGUUGCAUGUGCAGGUAUGAGUGUGAAGGAAGCAAUGCCUAUUGUGCAGAUACUAGUAGAACAUAUGCUUUGCCAGGUUUUCUCUAUUGUUUAUCAGAAUAUGUGGUUUACAUUGUUUUGUACACAAUCUGUGAUUGUUUUUAUGUAGGCAAGACCAAUCAAAAACUUAAAAUAAAAUAUAUAAACAUGUACAUGCAAUAAAGAACAGCAAUUAUUUUAAUGAUUUGUAUAGACACUGAAGCAAAUGUGUGAAUUUUAAAAAAGUUUGUUUAUUCAGUACUGGGUCAUAUGAUCCAUGAUAUUAGAGGAGGAAAUAGAUAUGACAAACCUGACUAUUUGGAAUAUAAAUGGCACAUUUUAUUAAAUAUUUCUUGGCAUUUUGGUCUUAAUUCUAGUAUCAACUACAAAUGUCUUAAAGGAUAAAAUUGCAUAAAGUCAAACAUUUAAUUUGUCAUUAGACUGUAUGCAUUUAAAAGGGGUUUAAUAGUUUGAUUACUCAGUCUGAUUAAGUCCUGUGACCAGAAUGUUAUUUGUAAAGAUCAAAGCAGUUACUGAAAUAGUUAAGUUAAUUUGUGAAUAAAGACAUUUUGGCUUAUUCUUC
Long non-coding RNA from Protopterus annectens (West African lungfish), 3813 nucleotides. RefSeq lists it as uncharacterized. Lineage: Eukaryota; Metazoa; Chordata; Ceratodontiformes; Protopteridae. The record is from RefSeq and is a predicted model, not a curated record. The transcript is spliced from 4 exons.